Molecule: long non-coding RNA, 747 nt
Organism: Aptenodytes forsteri (emperor penguin)
Lineage: Eukaryota; Metazoa; Chordata; Aves; Sphenisciformes; Spheniscidae
Exons: 2
Source: RefSeq, a predicted model, not a curated record
AUUGUAGAGCUUUCUUCUGAUGAACCCAUGCAAGUUACUUACACAGAAGUUUCCUUCUAUGACUCUUUAAGUGUUCCUCCUGUAAUUUCCUUUCUGCAGUCACCUUUCUUCCUCCUCAGUUAUGUAGACAUUUCAAUCGAAGAAGCACUGGAUGAGGCUCCAGAGGCAGCAGUUGAAAGGAAUAGUCAGAGGAGCACUGGAAGAACGUGCCGUCAGCAAAUAUGGAGAUCCAACCUAGAUACUUGUAGCCUGCAAAUUUGUCUGCCUUCUGUAGACACUCACAUAGCUCCAGUCAGAGUAAAUUGUUUUACGUAUUUUUUCCUCAAAAGAAUCUUUUGAAGAAAAAUAUACUAUCUUCUCUGAUUGUUUCUUAUAAACAGUCCGUUAUCAGAGAUGGGGCAGAGGGAAGGGGUGUAAAACAAAUGUAUACAAUUGCCAUUUCCACUCUCCUAUGGGCUCAGGGUCGGUGUUGGGUGGGCUUAGAGGCUCCGCGCAGCCUUGCUGUUGCCUUGGCAAAGAAGUCGGUAGUGGCUCUGCAAACUCAGAGUUUGGAGGCGCUUGGAAAAGUGUAGGUGUUCCUGUGCAUCACCAAGUACGCAUCGUCAAUGGAGUUCCCAUUUCUUCUCAUUCUAAGAAUUUCUGCAAGUCCAGGAAAUAAGCUGUAUUUCACUGCAGUUUAUAUCUGGAUUUUUUUCAUCCUAAAGAUUAAGAGAUGAAGCAUUUCUGCAAUAAAAUUAAUCUUUGUAU